UACCUUUUGUAUAAUGGGUCAGCGACUUAUAUUCUGUAGCAAGGUUAACCGAAUAGGGGAGCCGAAGGGAAACCGAGUCUUAACUGGGCGUUAAGUUGCAGGGUAUAGACCCGAAACCCGGUGAUCUAGCCAUGGGCAGGUUGAAGGUUGGGUAACACUAACUGGAGGACCGAACCGACUAAUGUUGAAAAAUUAGCGGAUGACUUGUGGCUGGGGGUGAAAGGCCAAUCAAACCGGGAGAUAGCUGGUUCUCCCCGAAAGCUAUUUAGGUAGCGCCUCGUGAAUUCAUCUCCGGGGGUAGAGCACUGUUUCGGCAAGGGGGUCAUCCCGACUUACCAACCCGAUGCAAACUGCGAAUACCGGAGAAUGUUAUCACGGGAGACACACGGCGGGUGCUAACGUCCGUCGUGAAGAGGGAAACAACCCAGACCGCCAGCUAAGGUCCCAAAGUCAUGGUUAAGUGGGAAACGAUGUGGGAAGGCCCAGACAGCCAGGAUGUUGGCUUAGAAGCAGCCAUCAUUUAAAGAAAGCGUAAUAGCUCACUGGUCGAGUCGGCCUGCGCGGAAGAUGUAACGGGGCUAAACCAUGCACCGAAGCUGCGGCAGCGACGCUGAUGCGUUGUUGGGUAGGGGAGCGUUCUGUAAGCCUGUGAAGGUGUGCUGUGAGGCAUGCUGGAGGUAUCAGAAGUGCGAAUGCUGACAUAAGUAACGAUAAAGCGGGUGAAAAGCCCGCUCGCCGGAAGACCAAGGGUUCCUGUCCAACGUUAAUCGGGGCAGGGUGAGUCGACCCCUAAGGCGAGGCCGAAAGGCGUAGUCGAUGGGAAACAGGUUAAUAUUCCUGUACUUGGUGUUACUGCGAAGGGGGGACGGAGAAGGCUAUGUUGGCCGGGCGACGGUUGUCCCGGUUUAAGCGUGUAGGCUGGUUUUCCAGGCAAAUCCGGAAAACUAAGGCUGAGGCGUGAUGACGAGGCACUACGGUGCUGAAGCAACAAAUGCCCUGCUUCCAGGAAAAGCCUCUAAGCAUCAGGUAACAUCAAAUCGUACCCCAAACCGACACAGGUGGUCAGGUAGAGAAUACCAAGGCGCUUGAGAGAACUCGGGUGAAGGAACUAGGCAAAAUGGUGCCGUAACUUCGGGAGAAGGCACGCUGAUAUGUAGGUGAAGUCCCUCGCGGAUGGAGCUGAAAUCAGUCGAAGAUACCAGCUGGCUGCAACUGUUUAUUAAAAACACAGCACUGUGCAAACACGAAAGUGGACGUAUACGGUGUGACGCCUGCCCGGUGCCGGAAGGUUAAUUGAUGGGGUCAGCGCAAGCGAAGCUCUUGAUCGAAGCCCCGGUAAACGGCGGCCGUAACUAUAACGGUCCUAAGGUAGCGAAAUUCCUUGUCGGGUAAGUUCCGACCUGCACGAAUGGCGUAAUGAUGGCCAGGCUGUCUCCACCCGAGACUCAGUGAAAUUGAACUCGCUGUGAAGAUGCAGUGUACCCGCGGCAAGACGGAAAGACCCCGUGAACCUUUACUAUAGCUUGACACUGAACAUUGAGCCUUGAUGUGUAGGAUAGGUGGGAGGCUUUGAAGUGUGGACGCCAGUCUGCAUGGAGCCGACCUUGAAAUACCACCCUUUAAUGUUUGAUGUUCUAACGUUGACCCGUAAUCCGGGUUGCGGACAGUGUCUGGUGGGUAGUUUGACUGGGGCGGUCUCCUCCUAAAGAGUAACGGAGGAGCACGAAGGUUGGCUAAUCCUGGUCGGACAUCAGGAGGUUAGUGCAAUGGCAUAAGCCAGCUUGACUGCGAGCGUGACGGCGCGAGCAGGUGCGAAAGCAGGUCAUAGUGAUCCGGUGGUUCUGAAUGGAAGGGCCAUCGCUCAACGGAUAAAAGGUACUCCGGGGAUAACAGGCUGAUACCGCCCAAGAGUUCAUAUCGACGGCGGUGUUUGGCACCUCGAUGUCGGCUCAUCACAUCCUGGGGCUGAAGUAGGUCCCAAGGGUAUGGCUGUUCGCCAUUUAAAGUGGUACGCGAGCUGGGUUUAGAACGUCGUGAGACAGUUCGGUCCCUAUCUGCCGUGGGCGCUGGAGAACUGAGGGGGGCUGCUCCUAGUACGAGAGGACCGGAGUGGACGCAUCACUGGUGUUCGGGUUGUCAUGCCAAUGGCACUGCCCGGUAGCUAAAUGCGGAAGAGAUAAGUGCUGAAAGCAUCUAAGCACGAAACUUGCCCCGAGAUGAGUUCUCCCUGACUCCUUGAGAGUCCUGAAGGAACGUUGAAG
RNAcentral lists this ribosomal RNA (2261 nucleotides) under Escherichia coli. RNAcentral's name for it is "partial 23S ribosomal RNA". It matches the Rfam family "Bacterial large subunit ribosomal RNA", at positions 602 to 2843 of the family's 2925-position model. Lineage: Bacteria; Pseudomonadati; Pseudomonadota; Gammaproteobacteria; Enterobacterales; Enterobacteriaceae. The record is from RNAcentral.